RNAcentral lists this ribosomal RNA (408 nucleotides) under uncultured Methylomirabilota bacterium. RNAcentral describes it as "bacterial SSU rRNA". It matches the Rfam family "Bacterial small subunit ribosomal RNA", at positions 1027 to 1434 of the family's 1533-position model. The record is from RNAcentral. Lineage: Bacteria; Methylomirabilota (SeqCode).
CGUGGAGACAGGUGGUGCAUGGCUGUCGUCAGCUCGUGUCGUGAGAUGUUGGGUUAAGUCCCGCAACGAGCGCAACCCUCGCCUCUUGUUGCCAUCAGGUCAUGCUGGGCACUCUAGAGGAACUGCCCCGGUCAACGGGGAGGAAGGCGGGGAUGACGUCAAGUCAUCAUGCCCCUUACGUCCUGGGCUACACACGUGCUACAAUGGCCGGUACAAAGGGAUGCCACACCGCGAGGUAGAGCUAAACCCAAAAAGCCGGUCUAAGUUCAGAUUGGAGUCUGCAACUCGACUCCAUGAAGGAGGAAUCGCUGGUAAUCGCGUAUCAGCACGACGCGGUGAAUACGUUCCCGGGCCUUGUACACACCGCCCGUCACACCACGAAAGCCUGCUGUACUCGAAGUCGCUGAG